This 468-nucleotide ribosomal RNA is filed under the name uncultured bacterium. RNAcentral's name for it is "partial 16S ribosomal RNA". It matches the Rfam family "Bacterial small subunit ribosomal RNA", at positions 28 to 507 of the family's 1533-position model. The record is from RNAcentral.
GACGAACGCUGGCGGCGUGCUUAACACAUGUAAGUCGAACGGAAAGGCCCUGCUUUUGUGGGGUGCUCGAGUGGCGAACGGGUGAGUAACACGUGAGUAACCUGCCCUUGACUUUGGGAUAACUUCAGGAAACUGGGGCUAAUACCGGAUAGGAGCUCCUGCUGCAUGGUGGGGGUUGGAAAGUUUCGGCGGUUGGGGAUGGACUCGCGGCUUAUCAGCCUGUUGGUGGGGUAGUGGCUUACCAAGGCUUUGACGGGUAGCCGGCCUGAGAGGGUGACCGGCCACAUUGGGACUGAGAUACGGCCCAGACUCCUACGGGAGGCAGCAGUGGGGAAUAUUGCACAAUGGGCGGAAGCCUGAUGCAGCAACGCCGCGUGCGGGAUGACGGCCUUCGGGUUGUAAACCGCUUUCGCCUGUGACGAAGCGUGAGUGACGGUAAUGGGUAAAGAAGCACCGGCUAACUACGUG